Misgurnus anguillicaudatus (oriental weatherfish) is the source of this 757-nucleotide non-coding RNA. The record is from RefSeq and is a predicted model, not a curated record. NCBI's taxonomy places the organism in Eukaryota, Metazoa, Chordata, Actinopteri, Cypriniformes, Cobitidae.
UUUUCUUUUUCGCUUUAUUUAGUUUUGUGUUAAUUAUAUCCACAAAGUAAUCGAAUAAAUUGGUAAUGUAAAACUAUUAUCCGCUGUAAAUUAAUUGUGUGCUCAAUUGCGACGCCCUGUGUUGAAUUUUCCCGCGGAAAACAUGAACAACCAUUGCUGACUGAAUUGUUUGACAAAGGCGUCUUACUGGAGUACAGUAUCAUUACUGAGGGGAAAUAUAACAUUAUUCAUUUAAUUCCACAAAAGGCCUGUAACGUACUGCAGCUUCCUGCAGGCAACGUGAAACAUUGCUGAGGGAGAACUUUAUUCACAACAAAAGGAUAAAGAUGAAGAGGCGGGACUUUAGCAGCUUGUGAUGGCUGUAAUUGUAAAGAAUGGAUCUUCUAGGAGUGGCAGCCCAAGGGAUGCUGGAAUUGUUAUCGUGGCCUUAAAGGUGUUCCCAGGGCAUGCCUCAUUGGAUUGGAUUGGAUCUAUGCAUUGAAUCUCCAGUAUCCCAGGCAUCUUUUCAGGUGUUUCAGAAACUUUUCUUGGAGCAGGAUUCUUCAAAGUUUAUGAACUGAUUACAGUACAGUAAGUCUAAACUGCUGUCUGAUUUUCUGGGUGUGAAUCAAUGUAACAGAACACAAACAUGGAACCUUUCAUCGGGAAAUGUGGACGGUUUUCUUUAAAGACUGUAAAAUACUUUUUGUACACUGUUACAAAUACACCAUUAAAAAUGAGAUGCUUUCCUGUUCUUUUGACUGGAAUAAAAAAAGAA